UAGGGAAUAUUGCGCAAUGGACGAAAGUCUGACGCAGCGACACCGUGUGAAGGAUGAAGGUCCUCGGAUUGUAAACUUCUGUCAAUUGGAGACGAAGGUACUUAGGGUUAAUAGCCUUAAGUAUUGACGGUACCCAAUAAGGAGGUCUCGGCUUACUCCGUGCCAGCAGCCGCGGUAAGACGGGGGAGGCAAGCGUUGUCCGGAAUUAUUGGGCGUAAAGAGCGCGUAGGUGGUUUAUCAAGUCAUUUGUGAAAACUUUAGGCUUAACUUAAAGAUUGCAAGUGAUACUGGUAUACUUGAGCACAGCAGAGGAAAGUGGAAUUCCUGGUGUAGCGGUGAAAUGCGCAGAUAUCAGGAAGAACACCAGUGGCGAAGGCGGCUUUCUGGGCUGUUGCUGACACUGAGGCGCGAAAGCUAGGGGAGCGAACAG
RNAcentral lists this ribosomal RNA (430 nucleotides) under uncultured bacterium. Its description in RNAcentral is "bacterial SSU rRNA". It matches the Rfam family "Bacterial small subunit ribosomal RNA", at positions 355 to 775 of the family's 1533-position model. The record is from RNAcentral.